GACGAAGGGGCUAGCGUUGUUCGGAAUUACUGGGCGUAAAGCGCGUGUAGGCGGUUGUUCAAGUCAGGUGUGAAAGCCUUGAGCUCAACUCAAGAAAUGCACUUGAUACUGGAUGACUAGAGGACCGGAGAGGAUAGUGGAAUUCCCAGUGUAGUGGUGAAAUACGUAGAGAUUGGGAAGAACACCAGUGGCGAAGGCGGCUAUCUGGACGGUUUCUGACGCUAAGACGCGAAAGCGUGGGGAGCAAACAGG
This 252-nucleotide ribosomal RNA is filed under the name uncultured bacterium. RNAcentral describes it as "partial 16S ribosomal RNA". It matches the Rfam family "Bacterial small subunit ribosomal RNA", at positions 524 to 776 of the family's 1533-position model. The record is from RNAcentral.